Molecule: long non-coding RNA, 979 nt
Organism: Paramacrobiotus metropolitanus
Lineage: Eukaryota; Metazoa; Tardigrada; Eutardigrada; Parachela; Macrobiotidae
Exons: 3
Source: RefSeq, a predicted model, not a curated record
CUACGAUCAAAGUUUAUUACAUAAUUUUAGUAAUUGCCGAAUUUACUAUAGUAGGUGCAGUUAUAAAUACAGAAAGUUUAUGCAUGUUACGACUUUAAGGUCUGGAGCUGCUGUCUUUGGCGUGUACCCGGAAUUUAAUCGAUACCACGGAGUCGAUCCUGGCGUAACGAAUUAUAAUGAAUGGUUCCGCUGUAUGGAGUCCCUGCACCUGACCAAUUCCAAGCUGACUAGGCCAAGACUGUUUAAGGGCAAUUUUCGUCUAAAAACAAUCAUUUUUCUCGUGAGUUAGCUGUAGCCACUUGAAUAGACUUAGCAUUGGCUUUGGAAUCUAUUUGCGGAUGUGAUCCUAUGUUACUGGAAGGAAAAGACCAUCUUGGAUAUGAAAACUAUCUACAAAUGCCAUGCUAUGCUACUGGAAAGAAUGGUAAUCCUGGAGACAGGUCAUAAAGGUUGUCUGGACAAAGCAGAAACUCCAAAAUCACUAUUCCGCAUUAUGAGGCCUCAUAAACCUGUUUUAAAACUGGAAUAUUAAACAUCUGGAUAAAUAAAAAUGAAGAAUGUAUUUAAUUGCAUAUGCACCGAAGGAAAUCCACAUAAUCCAGAGGACCGAAACAGCGACAUAAAAUUCACAACUGUUUCUCCUUCUGUUGCAUCAAAUUUAUGUGAAACGAUCGGCUCUGUUUAGCAUUAUCAUGAAAAAAAUUUAGAGACUGGCGAUAUUUUAUGAGCAAUGCUUCAGUAGUGAUGUGAAUACAACCGUGGAAAAGAAUGUAUCCUGUUAAUAAUUCUGAGCCAAAGAUUGUGGACCGCUUUUCAAUUGUGGAUGAUUGCAACUGCACAAGCGUGUGAUUCGUAUCAUUUUUCUCACGCGCAAACAUAGCAUCAAAUAACGAUGUGCCGAUUAUGUACUACACAGCUGUGGCCCUGUUAAGAAGCAGAUUAUCGUAUCGUAAAUCAUUUACGUUAUCAGUGCGGACUA